CAGUAGCCGCGGUAAAACGUAGGGUGCGAGCGUUAAUCGGAAUUACUGGGCGUAAAGCGUGCGCAGGCGGUUUUGUAAGACAGGCGUGAAAUCCCCGGGCUCAACCUGGGAAUGGCGCUUGUGACUGCAAAGCUAGAGUGCGGCAGAGGGGGAUGGAAUUCCGCGUGUAGCAGUGAAAUGCGUAGAUAUGCGGAGGAACACCGAUGGCGAAGGCAAUCCCCUGGGCCUGCACUGACGCUCAUGCACGAAAGCGUGGGGAGCAAACAGGAUUAGAUACCCCCGUAGUCCCUGUCUCUUAUAC
This 301-nucleotide ribosomal RNA is filed under the name uncultured bacterium. RNAcentral describes it as "partial 16S ribosomal RNA". It matches the Rfam family "Bacterial small subunit ribosomal RNA", at positions 509 to 807 of the family's 1533-position model. The record is from RNAcentral.